AUCAUGGCUCAGGACGAACGCUGGCGGCGUGCCUAAUACAUGCAAGUCGAACGCUUCUUUUUCCACCGGAGCUUGCUCCACCGGAAAAAGAGGAGUGGCGAACGGGUGAGUAACACGUGGGUAACCUGCCCAUCAGAAGGGGAUAACACUUGGAAACAGGUGCUAAUACCGUAUAACAAUCGAAACCGCAUGGUUUGAUUUGAAAGGCGCUUUCGGGUGUCGCUGAUGGAUGGACCCGCGGUGCAUUAGCUAGUUGGUGAGGUAACGGCUCACCAAGGCGACGAUGCAUAGCCGACCUGAGAGGGUGAUCGGCCACAUUGGGACUGAGACACGGCCCAAACUCCUACGGGAGGCAGCAGUAGGGAAUCUUCGGCAAUGGACGAAAGUCUGACCCGAGCAACGCCGCGUGAGUGAAGAAGGUUUUCGGAUCGUAAAACUCUGUUGUUAGAGAAGAAACAAGGAUGAGAGUAACUGUUCCAUCCCCUGACCGGUACGAAGCC
This 500-nucleotide ribosomal RNA is filed under the name Enterococcus hirae. Its description in RNAcentral is "bacterial SSU rRNA". It matches the Rfam family "Bacterial small subunit ribosomal RNA", at positions 16 to 495 of the family's 1533-position model. Lineage: Bacteria; Bacillati; Bacillota; Bacilli; Lactobacillales; Enterococcaceae. The record is from RNAcentral.